AACGCGAAGAACCUUACCAGGUCUUGACAUCGAUGUAAACCCAUAGAGAUAUGGGGUGGCUUCGGCCGACAGAAGACAGGUGGUGCAUGGUUGUCGUCAGCUCGUGUCGUGAGAUGUUGGGUUAAGUCCCGCAACGAGCGCAACCCUUAUUGUCAGUUACUAACGGGUAGAGCCGAGGACUCUGACGAGACUGCCGGGGACAACUCGGAGGAAGGUGGGGACGACGUCAAAUCAUCAUGCCCCUUAUGACCUGGGCUACACACGUGCUACAAUGGUGGCAACAAAGAGGAGCGAGCCCGUAAGGGGAAGCGGAUCUCAAAAAAGCCGUCUCAGUUCGGAUUGUGGGCUGCAACCCGCCCACAUGAAGUCGGAGUUGCUAGUAAUCGCGAAUCAUCAUGUCGCGGUGAAUACGUUCCCGGGUCUUGUACACACCG
This 434-nucleotide ribosomal RNA is filed under the name uncultured bacterium. Its description in RNAcentral is "bacterial SSU rRNA". It matches the Rfam family "Bacterial small subunit ribosomal RNA", at positions 958 to 1392 of the family's 1533-position model. The record is from RNAcentral.